UCAGAGUUUUGAUCCUGGCUCAGAUUGAACGCUGGCGGCAUGCCUUACACAUGCAAGUCGAACGGCAGCACGGGUGCUUGCACCUGGUGGCGAGUGGCGAACGGGUGAGUAAUACAUCGGAACAUGUCCUGUAGUGGGGGAUAGCCCGGCGAAAGCCGGAUUAAUACCGCAUACGAUCCACGGAUGAAAGCGGGGGACCUUCGGGCCUCGCGCUAUAGGGUUGGCCGAUGGCUGAUUAGCUAGUUGGUGGGGUAAAGGCCUACCAAGGCGACGAUCAGUAGCUGGUCUGAGAGGACGACCAGCCACACUGGGACUGAGACACGGCCCAGACUCCUACGGGAGGCAGCAGUGGGGAAUUUUGGACAAUGGGCGAAAGCCUGAUCCAGCAAUGCCGCGUGUGUGAAGAAGGCCUUCGGGUUGUAAAGCACUUUUGUCCGGAAAGAAAUCCUUGGCUCUAAUACAGUCGGGGGAUGACGGUACCGAAG
RNAcentral lists this ribosomal RNA (485 nucleotides) under Burkholderia cenocepacia. Its description in RNAcentral is "bacterial SSU rRNA". It matches the Rfam family "Bacterial small subunit ribosomal RNA", at positions 1 to 483 of the family's 1533-position model. Lineage: Bacteria; Pseudomonadati; Pseudomonadota; Betaproteobacteria; Burkholderiales; Burkholderiaceae. The record is from RNAcentral.